This 250-nucleotide unclassified non-coding RNA is filed under the name plant metagenome. RNAcentral describes it as "partial contains small subunit ribosomal RNA, internal transcribed spacer 1, and 5.8S ribosomal RNA". The record is from RNAcentral.
GUAGGUGAACCUGCGGAAGGAUCAUUCACAAAGUUAGGGGGGUGAGCGAGUGUGAAGCACGGAGCGCGUAGCGCAAAGUGCGUAGCACGAGUGAACCCGCCAAAAGGCAAGUGCCUAGUGCUAGGUGUGGGGGCAUGAGGAGAGUCUGUGGACACCUUGUGGCCCCGCCACCGACGCGCGAAGCGUGCGCCUAUACGAGCACCCGCCAGGCUUACGCCGAACGGGUAGGGUGUCGAUGCCGAGGAGGAGG